UACUAGAGUAGCACUCGCAUAUCAAUAAGCGGAGGAAAAGAAAUUAACAAGGAUUCCCCUAGUAACGGCGAGUGAAGCGGGAAGAGCUCAAAUUUGAAAUCUUAAAGGGUUUCCCUUUACGAAUUGUAGUUUAAAGAAGUGUUUUCUGUUGAGGUUUUGGUAAAAGUUCUUUGGAAUAGGACAUCAUAGAGGGUGAGAAUCCCGUAUUUGACCUUUACUUUCAACUUUGUGAUACACUUUCAAAGAGUCGGAUUGUUUGGGAAUGCAGUCCAAAAUGGGUGGUAAAUUUCAUCUAAAGCUAAAUAUUGGCGAGAGACCGAUAGCGAACAAGUACCGUGAGGGAAAGAUGAAAAGAACUUUGAAAAGAGAGUUAAACAGUACGUGAAAUUGUCAAAAGGGAAGCGUUUGACACCAGUGUUGUUUUUCUGAAAAUCAAUUAAAGAACUGUUUAUGCUAAGUUGUUUAGACUUUAUCAGCUAUCUGUUUAGUUUUGAGCUUUUCUUUAAUGCACUUUUCAGUUAACAAGUCAACAUCAAUUUCUUUUGCUGUAAAAAAGCUUGAGGAAGGUGGCUUGAGAUUCGUCUUAAGUGUUUAUAGCCUCUUGCCUAUGCAGUCGGAGAGAUUGAGGUCUGCAGCGUAGAUCCUUCGGGGCUAAAUGCAUUUGUGCUAAGUUAUAGCAUUUUAUAGACAACUUGUUGACUAUGAUUUGUCUUGUAGCUUACUCGCUUAUGUUAUUUUACCUACGCUUAGGAUGUUGAACUACUGAGACAUAGA
This 774-nucleotide ribosomal RNA is filed under the name uncultured Neocallimastigales. RNAcentral describes it as "partial large subunit ribosomal RNA". It matches the Rfam family "Eukaryotic large subunit ribosomal RNA", at positions 20 to 644 of the family's 3401-position model. Lineage: Eukaryota; Fungi; Neocallimastigomycota; Neocallimastigomycetes; Neocallimastigales. The record is from RNAcentral.